Molecule: ribosomal RNA, 325 nt
Filed under: uncultured eukaryote
Lineage: Eukaryota
Description: partial 18S ribosomal RNA
Rfam family: Eukaryotic small subunit ribosomal RNA
Source: RNAcentral
CCCUUAGAUGGUCUGGGCCGCACGCGCGCUACACUGAUGCAUUCAACGAGCCUAUCCUUGACCGACAGGUCCGGGUAAUCUUUGAAUCUGCAUCGUGACGGGGAUAGAUUAUUGCAAUUAUUAAUCUUCAACGAGGAAUGCCUAGUAGGCGCAAGUCAUCAGCUUGCGUCGAUUACGUCCCUGCCCUUUGUACACACCGCCCGUCGCUCCUACCGAUUGGGUGUGCUGGUGAAAUGUUCGGAUCGGCCGUUUGUCGCGGUUUCCGCGGCUCGUGGCUGAGAAGUUCAUUAAACCCUCCCACCGAGAGGAAGGAGAAGUCGUAACA